Molecule: ribosomal RNA, 549 nt
Filed under: Metschnikowia sp. (in: budding yeasts & allies)
Lineage: Eukaryota; Fungi; Ascomycota; Pichiomycetes; Serinales; Metschnikowiaceae
Description: eukaryotic LSU rRNA
Rfam family: Eukaryotic large subunit ribosomal RNA (bases 1-481)
Source: RNAcentral
GAGCGGCAAAAGCUCAAUUUGAAAUCCCCCGGGAAUUGUGUUCUGAAUAGAUUUUUGGUCCGGCCGGCUGGGUUAAGUCCACUGGAAAGUGCCGCCACAAAGGGAGACAGCCCCGGGAACCCCUUUAACGCCUUCAUCCCACAUCUCCAAGAGUCGAGUUGUUUGGAAAUGCAGCUCUGAUUGGGUGGUAAAUUCCAUCUGAAGCUAAAUACCCGUCCAGAGACCGAUAGCGAACAAGAACAGUGAUGGAAAGAUGAAAAGCGCUUUGAAAAGAAAGUGAAAUAGUACAUGAAAUUGUUGAAAGGGAAGGGCUUGCUAGCAGACACUUAACUGGGCCAGCAUCGGGGCGGCGGGAAGCAAAACCACCGGGGAAUGUACCUUUCGAGGAUUAUAACCCCGGCCCCUAUUUCCAUGCUGCCCCGAGGCCUGCAUUCUAAGGAUGCUGGCGUAAUGGUUGCAAGUCGCCCGUCUUGAAACACGGACCACCGGGAUUGAGGACUGCCCUUCAUCAAGGAUGUUGGCAUAAUGGUUAAAUGCCGCCCGUCUUGA